GAUGAACGCUGGCGGCGUGCCUAACACAUGCAAGUCGAACGGAGAUUACGGACGGAAGUUUUCGGAUGGAAGUCUGUAAUUCUUAGUGGCGGACGGGUGAGUAACGCGUGGGCAACCUGCCCUAUACAGGGGGAUAGCAGCUGGAAACGGCUGGUAAGACCGCAUAAGUCGGCGAGACCGCAUGGUUUUGCCGGGAAAUGAGCAAUCAGGUAUAGGAUGGGCCCGCGUCCGAUUAGCCAGUUGGCAGGGUAAAAGCCUACCAAAGCAACGAUCGGUAGCCGGACUGAGAGGUCGGACGGCCACAUUGGGACUGAGACACGGCCCAAACUCCUACGGGAGGCAGCAGUGGGGGAUAUUGCACAAUGGAGGAAACUCUGAUGCAGCGACGCCGCGUGAGUGAAGAAGUAUUUCGGUAUGUAAAGCUCUAUCAGCAGGGAAGAUGAUGACGGUACCUGACUAAGAAGCCCCGGCUAACUACGUG
This 481-nucleotide ribosomal RNA is filed under the name uncultured bacterium. Its description in RNAcentral is "partial 16S ribosomal RNA". It matches the Rfam family "Bacterial small subunit ribosomal RNA", at positions 28 to 507 of the family's 1533-position model. The record is from RNAcentral.